Molecule: long non-coding RNA, 288 nt
Filed under: Mytilus galloprovincialis (Mediterranean mussel)
Lineage: Eukaryota; Metazoa; Mollusca; Bivalvia; Mytilida; Mytilidae
Source: RNAcentral
UAAAUUUAAUUAUUAAAUAGAUAUAAAAGAUAUUAAACCAAUAACUGUCAUGUGCAAAUUUAUUGAUGAUAGCCAAGUAUGCAGUCUUCAUGUGCCUUAAAUUUUAUUAUCUGCCCUUGCUUCUGUAUCAUAUGCCAACAAGGUCUACAUACUUUAUCGCCACUUGUUUGUAAGAACAGAGGUAUCGACAGACAAAGCUAUACCUGCUUUCAUUAUGUCUGUCAAUGAUGAACCAAUAAUUAUAAUCAAUUACAAACAAAAGUGAACCAACGCCUGGUGAGUCUGUAG